CACACCGCCCGUCACACCAUGGGAGUUGGAUUCACUCGAAGGCGUUGAGCUAACCCGCAGGGGAGGCAGGCGACCACAGUGGGUUUAGCGACUGGGGUG
Molecule: ribosomal RNA, 99 nt
Filed under: uncultured bacterium
Lineage: Bacteria
Description: partial 16S ribosomal RNA
Rfam family: Bacterial small subunit ribosomal RNA
Source: RNAcentral